ACCCAGCUGAUGAGUUUCAAAUAGGACGAAACAUGUGUCGUGGAU
This 45-nucleotide non-coding RNA is filed under the name Schistosoma margrebowiei. The record is from RNAcentral. Lineage: Eukaryota; Metazoa; Platyhelminthes; Trematoda; Strigeidida; Schistosomatidae.